Molecule: long non-coding RNA, 497 nt
Organism: Bombyx mori (domestic silkworm)
Lineage: Eukaryota; Metazoa; Arthropoda; Insecta; Lepidoptera; Bombycidae
Exons: 4
Source: RefSeq, a predicted model, not a curated record
CUGACAAUUACACAAAACGUAUCUUUGGCUGUCAAGAAAUUACAAAUUUUACUUCAGAUUUUCUAUUUACAUAUUACACAGGAGGCUGAAGAGAAGGAGCACCCGUGGUCUUCCGAGAGUGGUGAUUGCAACCGUGGUGACGAGGAUACCGUUGUUCAAAGACGGAGGCGUUGACCCCGAACUCUGCAUUGCUGCUGGUCUUUCCCCACUCAGCACGUGGACUAUGACUGAGGCCGAUUCUGUGUACACAGUAUAAAAUAGGACACGGCGCUCGGUGCACACAUACCACGCGAUGUGACUACCAGUGUCUAACUCCCACAGGCAGCGACAUCGACGAUCGCGCGGCGCGGGCGCGGGAGGAGGACAGCGGCGCGGGGUAGCGGAUUUACACCGGCUUCGUCUCUUCGUGCAGCAACGCCGCCCGCGACACUUACUUGUUUUCAUCUUGUUUUACUCUUUUAUAAUACCUUUUAUAAUACUAUAAGCUUACCAAAUAA